This 342-nucleotide long non-coding RNA is filed under the name Ananas comosus (pineapple). Its description in RNAcentral is "long non-coding RNA (ACOM_LNC023441)". The record is from RNAcentral. Lineage: Eukaryota; Viridiplantae; Streptophyta; Magnoliopsida; Poales; Bromeliaceae.
UAUAUAUAUGAGUGGGCUGGUAUGCUUAUGGAAGCACGGAGGGCUCCGUGCUUUCACUUUGUUUUCGAUGUUCAGACUUUCGAAUCAAUGAUCGGCUCCGUUAGAGUUGAUUUAGAGUAUUUGAAGUACCUAGAAAAUAAAUUUUGCAAUUUUUCGAUAUCAUUUGCCUAGUGAUCAAAGGGGCUCAAAAUCAAUAAUUUUAACGGCCGUGGUGAGCCAGUUGCUAGUUUAACGGUGUAGAAAUAUCCAAAUCACAUGAAAUUUUGAUAGAAAAUUCUUUAUACCAUAUAAAACAAAAUCAAUAAUUUUGAUCUAAAAUUUUAAUAUCAUAUCAUUAUAUUU